RNAcentral lists this ribosomal RNA (590 nucleotides) under Yarrowia sp. RNAcentral describes it as "LSU rRNA". It matches the Rfam family "Eukaryotic large subunit ribosomal RNA", at positions 280 to 961 of the family's 3401-position model. The record is from RNAcentral. Lineage: Eukaryota; Fungi; Ascomycota; Dipodascomycetes; Dipodascales.
AUGCAGCUCAAAGUGGGUGGUAAACUCCAUCUAAAGCUAAAUACUGGUGAGAGACCGAUAGCGAACAAGUACUGUGAAGGAAAGGUGAAAAGAACUUUGAAAAGAGAGUGAAAUAGUAUGUGAAAUUGUUGAUAGGGAAGGAAAUGAGUGGAGAGUGGACGAGGUUUCAGUGCCCCCUCGGGGGUACGUACUGCCAACUCCGAGUCAACGUCAGCGAGACGGGGUGUAUAAACGGGUGUCUUCGGGCUCUCACCUACUCCCCCCCACUGCCGUCGUCGACAUAAUCCACCCAUUUCACCCGUCUUGAAACACGGACCAAGGAGUCUAAUGGAUAUGUGAGUGUUAGGGUGGCAAACCCCAGCGCGCAAUGAAAGUGAAUGAUUCGUCCAGAAUCGACCGAACUUGAUUUUUAUGACAGUUUUGAGUAAACACAUCCAUUGGGACCCGAAAGAUGGUGAACUAUGCCUGAAUAGGGUGAAGUCAGAGGAAACUCUGAUGGAGGCUCGUAGCGGUUCUGACGUGCAAAUCGAUCGUAGAAUUUGGGUAUAGGGGCAAAAGACUAAUCGAACCAUCUAGUAGCUGGUUCCUGC